GAUGAAGAACGUAGCGAAAUGCGAUACUUGGUGUGAAUUGCAGAAUCCCGUGAACCAUCGAGUCUUUGAACGCAAGUUGCGCCCGAAGCCAUUAGGCCGAGGGCACGCCUGCCUGGGCGUCACACGUCGUUGCCCCCCCAUCUACUCCUUCGGGAUUGCGGGGGGCGGAUGAUGGCCUCUCGUGCGCCUCGUCGCGCGGUUGGCCUAAAUGCCAAGUCCUCGGCGACGCACGCCACGACAAUCGGUGGUUGCGAAACCUCGGUUGCCUGUCGUGUGCGGUCGUUGCGCAUCGAGGGCUCGAAAAAAUUGCCGGGCUUCGGCUCGACUUUCAACGCGACCCCAGGUCAGGCGGGGUUACCCGCUGAAUUUAAGCAUAUCAAUAAGCGGAGGA
This 391-nucleotide unclassified non-coding RNA is filed under the name soil metagenome. Its description in RNAcentral is "partial contains 5.8S ribosomal RNA, internal transcribed spacer 2, and large subunit ribosomal RNA". The stretch from base 1 to 122 matches the Rfam family "5.8S ribosomal RNA", at positions 35 to 154 of the family's 154-position model. The record is from RNAcentral.